GAUGAACGCUGGCGGCGUGCCUAAUACAUGCAAGUCGAACGGGGCGUAGCAAUCCUCUUAGUGGCGAACGGGUGAGUAACGGGAUGGUACCUGCCCCGAAGCGGGGGCUCACGGACCGAAAGGUUCGCUAAUACCCCUUGCUCCGGGUAAAGGGUAAAGGUGAUAACCACUUUGGGAGGGGCAUGCGUCCCAUUAGCUAGUUGGUAAGGUAACGGCCUACCAAGGCGAUGACGGGUAGGGGGCCUGAGAGGCUGGCCCCCCACAAUGGAACUGAGACACGGCCCAGACACCUACGGGAGGCAGCAGUAGGGAAUAUUGGAAAUGGGCGCAAGCCUGAACCAGCAACGGCGCGUGGGGGAAUGCGGCCUUCAGGUUGGAAAAGACUUUUGACUGGGGCGGGGAAGGACGGUACCGGGAGAAUCAGCCUCGGCUAACUACGUG
RNAcentral lists this ribosomal RNA (441 nucleotides) under uncultured bacterium. Its description in RNAcentral is "partial 16S ribosomal RNA". It matches the Rfam family "Bacterial small subunit ribosomal RNA", at positions 28 to 507 of the family's 1533-position model. The record is from RNAcentral.